AUCGNCAAGACCUUGCGCUAAAGGAGCGGCCGAUGUCUGAUUAGCUAGUUGGUGGGGUAAAGGCUUACCAAGGCAACGAUCAGUAGUUGGUCUGAGAGGACGGCCAACCACACUGGGACUGAGACACGGCCCAGACUCUACGGGAGGCAGCAGUGGGGAAUUUUGGACAAUGGGCGAAAGCCUGAUCCAGCCAUGCCGCGUGAGUGAAGAAGGCCUUCGGGUUGUAAAGCUCUUUUAGUCGGAAAGAAAGAGUUGCAAUGAAUAAUUGUGAUUUAUGACGGUACCGACAGAAAAAGCACCGGCUAACUACGUGCCAGCAGCCGCGGUAAUACGUAGGGUGCGAGCGUUAAUCGGAAUUACUGGGCGUAAAGGGUGCGCAGGCGGUCUUGCAAGUCAGAUGUGAAAGCCCCGGGCUUAACCUGGGAAUUGCGUUUGANUACUACAA
This 445-nucleotide ribosomal RNA is filed under the name Nitrosomonas europaea. RNAcentral's name for it is "bacterial SSU rRNA". It matches the Rfam family "Bacterial small subunit ribosomal RNA", at positions 198 to 638 of the family's 1533-position model. The record is from RNAcentral. Lineage: Bacteria; Pseudomonadati; Pseudomonadota; Betaproteobacteria; Nitrosomonadales; Nitrosomonadaceae.